AACCAUAGAAACCUGCGGAGUACCUGCGGAGGGAUCAUUAUAGUAUAUGGAAUCUCCAUUCUAUAAACCCACUCUGCGUAUCUUGUAACUGUUGCUUCCAUGGGACUUGGUUCCGCCACACCGGCUUCACGGCUGGUGAGCGCCCAUGGAAGGAGAAACAAAUCUCUUCUUUGAAAUGUAGUCAGUCUGAACAAGUUUUUAUAAACGUUAAAACUUUUAGCAAUGGAUCUCAGAUCGGAA
This 240-nucleotide unclassified non-coding RNA is filed under the name soil metagenome. RNAcentral's name for it is "partial contains 5.8S ribosomal RNA, internal transcribed spacer 2, and large subunit ribosomal RNA". The record is from RNAcentral.